CGGUGCAACCCUCCAUCUGAGCUCGGAUCUCCCGCAGCUCCGCCGCCAGACCGGGUUUGGGCGAGUGUGUGAGUGGCGGCGCCUGGAUGUGGCCGCGCAAGUCGGACACCUGGUCGUGGUAAAGGGGGGCAGAGGUGAAGGGCGGGCGCUAGGACCCUGCUGUGCUCCAGGCAGACAGACACACAAUGCUGGAGUAACUCAGCGGGUCUGGCAGCGUCUGUGGAGAGAAGGAAUGGGUAAUGUUUCAGGUCGAGACCCUUCUUCAGACUCAGACAAAGCUGUCACCGAGCUAAGCUGGAUAAUUGCAACAUGAAUCGGGACUUUUCAUCUUUCCAUUGCCUCCAUUUCAUUGAAACUGCAGCACACAGCCAUUUCCCAGAACGCGGACUGGAAGACAGCAAUGAUGAAUAUUUCAGAGCAGGUACAGGAGCCUUAGGAGGUGCGGAUUGUUCUGCAGCAUUGCGCAGGGUCACACUCCCUGCCAGCCGAUGACUAAUUAGGCAGCUUGUGUUCCCUUGCCUGGGCCCUGUCGCCUGUAAUAUACUGUUCUCCCUACAACAGUAGGGUUGUGCUGCAAUGCAGAGCUGGGUGGUACGCUGCUCACCACCAGCCCAUCACAGACCAAGCUCACAGAGUUACAAACUCAAACCCCAACCCCCGCGGAGGGGGUAGGGAACUGUGAUGAGUGGGAUCUCUGGACCCUAUUGUGCUCGACCCAUUCACCAGCGUGAACUCACAUCCAUCAGAGCAGCUUUAAUAAACCAGGAAAGAUGACAGAAAUCCAGUGAAUCUGCUCAGGACGGGAGCUUUUUUAUGUGUUAAUCCGUUCACUGGAUGAACUGAACCCCAUGAGGUGCUAGUGUGGAGUUGCCUUCUGCAGUAGGUGUCCACAGCCAACGCCAGUGAAUGGAGCCACAAGGAACUGCAGAUGCUGGUUCACAAAACAAGACACAAAGUUCUGGAAUAGCUCAGCGGGUCAGGACUAUCUUUGGAAAACGUGGAUAGGUGACGUCUGGGUCGGCUUCCUUCAGGAAAUCUUCUUCAGGUGCUGCCUGACCCCCUGAGUUACUCCAGCAUUUUGUGUCAGCUGUUAGAUCAGACUGUGGAGAGAGCUCCAUCAUUUACAGUAUUGUCGUCAGUUUUGGUCACCACGUUACAGGUAAGAUAUUGUUAAGUUGCAAAGGGAGCAGAGAUUUUUGAGGAUGUUGCCAGGGCUUGUGGGGUUGAGCUAUAGGGAGAGGUUGAGCAGGCUAGGACAUUAUUCCCUGGAGUGCAGGAGGAUGAGGGGUGAUCUUA
Molecule: long non-coding RNA, 1296 nt
Organism: Amblyraja radiata (thorny skate)
Lineage: Eukaryota; Metazoa; Chordata; Chondrichthyes; Rajiformes; Rajidae
Exons: 3
Source: RefSeq, a predicted model, not a curated record